UUCUUCUAGAGCGGCAUUGAAAUAAAAUUAAUUGUAAGUCUAGACACGAUUCGUCCAAUUAAAGUAGCUCACCUCAGGAUCCAUCACGUUUGAGCUGCGUUAAAUCACAAAAAAAUAUUAAAAUUCAGUGGAGGCGGAGUCGCUACACUCACAAAACUGGGCAACAAUUCUCCAAAUAAUUAGGACAUGCUUGCUUUAUGUUUAAUGGGGCUAUAAAAACGAACAAAUGAAACGAAACUGGCGCCAAAAUUUUUACGAGGAACACAAGAUGAGUCAAAAUAAAAGAAUUGCUUUCAAAAGGUGCAAAAACAAUUUUUGUUUGCUUAACAAAUUAUGAGGAUAAUUAAAUUAAAAAUAGCCAAAGUCCACAAAGGAUCCAAAACUGCGAGCGCUGUAUGAAAAUAUCCAGUGACAUUUAAGUCACGUAGCCACUGAUAACUGAUAAUUUAAUUAAUUAACAUAAAAUGUGUACGAAGGGACUUAGUGUGUGUUCCAAAUUGCCGGGGACAAUGACAGUCGUGACGAUGACUCUACAAUUCGCCGGCUGCUAAGUAGCGGUUCGACGACCUUUGCUUCCUAUUCAAAAGAUCAAGGAUUUUUUGAUAUUAAUUUGCGGAAAAUGCAAAAUAUUGUGUUUGAAAAAUGUACAUAUUUCUUUAAAUAGUCCUUUUGUUUAUUCAUCUAGACACCUGUGGAAUGUGACAGGUACUUGCCAACUUUUCUUUAAUUUGUGAAACGUCAAAAACUAAUUAAAAAACAAGUUUGGAGUAAAUAAAAUUCAGUCAACAACUUUCUAAUUAUGCUCUAUUUUUAUUCUCAUGCAAAACAUAUUUUUAGAAGCAUAAACAAACCCAAAAACAAUUUCUACUCUACAUGACCAAAAUCGCGGCCUACUGGGUGCAAAACACUGAAAGCAUGCUUAUCCACACAUACCUAAGCGUCCAAACCGGAAAACCUGUUAGAAUUCGAGUAGAAUUUGGAAAAAUUACACGUCACGCGGAAAAGCUGCUCUGGAAAGUCGUGGAAAGCUCGACCUUAGAUCGUCCUCGACGCCACGUGACGUCACGACGUCACGUGGUUUAAUAUAAAUUGCACAAAAUGUGCCAAAAUUGCAGCGAAUUCAUCGCGGAAAUCCUUCCAUUCUGUCUAAACAUAACUCGAAUCGUGUAAAAGUCAAGGCGAACCGAUAUUAUUGCGCAAAAUGUGUUGGGUUAUUUAUAAAAUCGAUUAAGAAGGCUUGGCGCGACGCCGCGUUCUGAUUGGUCGAGCCGGCGGGUGUGUCGUGACGUUUGCCGCGCUGAUAUUUGAAACUUCGGUUGGAUAACACCGUGUCAAAGAUUUGACUUUAUUGUCAAAAUGCUGUCAAAACCCCUCGUUGCCACGGCAGCUGGUUCAAGCUGCGACGUGACUUUAGGACUCACCGACUGAAUGGGUCUCCUGGAGCUGGUGGUGAGGUUUUCGGAGGAAUAGAUGGGCACAUCCAUGUCGCUGACAUUGGAGGAGAUGCUCCCCUCCCGGCCCUCCCGCGGGGGUAUCUGAAGGAGAGCCAUGGCCUGCUGUUCAGCCACCGUUGGACUCUUCAGAUAGUGGCUCUCGGCGACGUAUCCGACGCCGUCGUCGUCAUCCCGGUCCAUUCCAGACACCACAGACACGGAAAAUCGCACACGUUUGGGAAACACACCGGAAAAUCGCUCCAAAAUCGCGCCGCGGAUGCGACUGAGUGACCCCUUCAAAGACGUCGCGACGCAUCGAGAUGGAAAGUAUUUUUAAACGCGUGACGUCGACGUCACUCUUCGGUGUCAACAGAAAACAUACAACAUUCUUUGGCAAUGGGCUAAAGGGUGUUUUUGGGCUGAUUCGCGGUCACGUGCUGACGCAAACACGUGGGAAGGGCUAUUUUUAAGGAGGCGCCAGCAUUGCACGCAUAAACAAUAAUUUUGCGCAAAAUUGAAUGCUGUAGAUAAACGCCGAGCAGUGACGGCUCGUGCGUUCAAAAAAGAGCUACAAUAAAAUUUACAAAUCAA
Long non-coding RNA from Tribolium castaneum (red flour beetle), 2024 nucleotides. RefSeq lists it as uncharacterized. Lineage: Eukaryota; Metazoa; Arthropoda; Insecta; Coleoptera; Tenebrionidae. The record is from RefSeq and is a predicted model, not a curated record. The transcript is spliced from 2 exons.